RNAcentral lists this ribosomal RNA (1135 nucleotides) under Clinostomum brieni. RNAcentral's name for it is "eukaryotic LSU rRNA". It matches the Rfam family "Eukaryotic large subunit ribosomal RNA", at positions 150 to 871 of the family's 3401-position model. Lineage: Eukaryota; Metazoa; Platyhelminthes; Trematoda; Strigeidida; Clinostomidae. The record is from RNAcentral.
GUUUAGGUUGGUUCUUGGCAUUACUGCUCCACCCUAAGUCCAGCAAUGAGUACGGCUUACUGGAUUGGCCCAUUGAGGGUGAAAGGCCCGUGUGGGUGGAGACUCAGACUAUCAGUUUUGCCCUGAGCCAACCUUGGAGUCGGGUUGUUUGUGAAUGCAGCCCAAAGUGGGUGGUAAACUCCAUCCAAGGCUAAAUACUGGCACGAGUCCGAUAGCGAACAAGUACCGUGAGGGAAAGUUGAAAAGUACUUUGAAGAGAGAGUAAACAGUCCGUGAACCCGCUCAGAGGUAAACGGGUGGAGUUGAACUGGAAGCCCUGGGGAUUCAGCUGAUGAGUAUGGCAUGAGCUUGGGCAUAUUGGUCGGCUUUCAGAGUCCGCUUAGCUGCGGGUCCUUGCCUUAACGGGUUUGGAUGUGCGUUACGCUCAUUAGGCGUUGUGCGCUCUGUCUGUUCCGGGCCUGCUCGUCAGUGCAAUUCCUCAGGGUGUUCACCACGACCGGCGCUGCUGUCUGUCUGUUGCGGUCAAACCGGUUGAGCUUAGUCAUUUUGAUUAAGUUUGGUCGGGAUGGCAGGUAGCUCUCGAGAUUUUCUGGCUUCGGCUGGUCAAGCUCUUGAGUGUAAUUAGCCGACUGUAAUGGAUCUGUGCGGUGCGUCGGAGCUGGCGGCUUUGGUGUGUGUACGCGUGCUGUAGCUUUCUGGCUUGGUCAAGUUUGGUUAAUGUGUUACCUGCUUCGGUGGGUCUAUUAAUGGCUUGACUUUGCGUAGUGAGUGGUGGCGCGUGCGACACUAUCUAGGGCCAAAAGUCUGUGGUGUUGUGGUAAACUAUCCACCCGACCCGUCUUGAAACACGGACCAAGGAGUUUAACAUGUACGCGAGUCAUUGGGCGUUACGAAACCCAAAGGCGUAGUGAAAGUAAAGGUUCGGCUUGCCCGAGCUGAGGUGAGAUCCUGCUGUUUCUCUGCCUUGGACUACCAAGCAUUCGAGCAGUGGGCGCAUCACCGGCCCGUCUCAUGAUGUAGUCAUAUGACCUUUGGUUGUGUGCACCUUCCGGGCGGAACUAAAACGUACACGUUGAGACCCCAAAGAUGGUGAACUAUGCCUGCGGAGGUUGAAGCCAGAGGAAACUCUGGUGGA